Molecule: transfer RNA, 85 nt
Filed under: Fusobacteriaceae bacterium
Lineage: Bacteria; Fusobacteriati; Fusobacteriota; Fusobacteriia; Fusobacteriales; Fusobacteriaceae
Also listed under: 1 other name
Description: tRNA-Leu
Rfam family: tRNA
About the family: Transfer RNA (tRNA) molecules are approximately 80 nucleotides in length. Their secondary structure includes four short double-helical elements and three loops (D, anti-codon, and T loops).
Source: RNAcentral
GCGAAGGUGGUGGAAUGGUAGACACGCUACUUUGAGGGGGUAGUUGGCAUAGCUAGUAGGGGUUCAAGUCCCCUUCUUCGCACCA